CAAUAUCAGACAGUUUAAUCUUUGUGCAACGAUAUCUUUGAAUAACAAAUAAAUAUUCUUGUCAACAAAAUGGGAUGCACAUGUAAAAAAGUGUUCUUCAUAACCGGACUGAUUCUUAUGGAAUUGAUUGACCUAGGUCUAGACUGGGACUUUUUCAAUGAAGUAAAUAAAACGGACCAAGAACGAAUACGAAGGAAAAAAGAAUUGAAAUAUUCGAUCCUGGCAUUUGCAAUUGUUGGAACAGUUACAUUUAUACUUCAACUAGUGGCUAUAUACUAUGAUUCUAGGAAGAAUUACUCGCAUUUAACAUACUUAACAACUAUGUCAUUUAUAUCAACGUGGCUUGAAGAUAUCCCCCAAAUUAUCUUGGCCGUUCGCGUAGCAGUCAUUUCAUCGGAUAUUAUUUCCAAUGUACAAUAUGCGAAAGCAAUAUACGCAAUCGUGGAAGCAUCGAUCCAUUUGGGAGUUUCGAUUUGGCAACUAAGUUGUAAAAGUAAAAAGUUCAAAUACAAAAGAAAUGGUAAAUGUCUCAAGGCGUUACUCGUGUUGGAUCUUAUUGGCGGCAUAUUACUUAACGUUGCUUCCGUUUUCCUUAUAAUAGAACUAAGCUUGGACAAUUUUAAUUGAUACUAAUGUUUUCAAGUAGUAGUCCCCUUUCAACCUUAUGUAUAUAUUAUCUGACAUUUUGGUGGCUUGACGGUUAAUUAAAUUUUUGAUUUAUAUUUAUUGUUCACUUCUAUAAACUAUUUGAAUUUUUGGUAGUUAUUGUAAUAAUUUA
This is a long non-coding RNA of Mytilus californianus (California mussel), 778 nucleotides long. RefSeq lists it as uncharacterized. Lineage: Eukaryota; Metazoa; Mollusca; Bivalvia; Mytilida; Mytilidae. The transcript has 2 exons. The record is from RefSeq and is a predicted model, not a curated record.